This is a long non-coding RNA of Helicoverpa armigera (cotton bollworm), 651 nucleotides long. RefSeq lists it as uncharacterized. NCBI's taxonomy places the organism in Eukaryota, Metazoa, Arthropoda, Insecta, Lepidoptera, Noctuidae. The record is from RefSeq and is a predicted model, not a curated record. The transcript has 2 exons.
CGGUAUCAAAUAAGUAUCGGCUUUUGUACUACCUUUAAUCCACCUUUAAGUACGACCUUGAAAAACGUUAUUAGAAAACGCAGUUUAUCGCAAGUCCUAUUACUAUCUGUAGUACAAAAGAUAAACCAUCGAGCCCCCUAGUUUAACUGCAGUACUUAGUCGACAAACGUCAAAUUCCGACAUUAUUUACUUUUGAGGUUAUUUGUUUUGUGAUGAAAAAAACGAAAGUGGAUAUAAAUAUGUGUGAUUUGGAAUACUUGGAUGUGUUAGAAUACUAUUGAGAGUGUCCGGGGACCCAACAGAAUGUGUCAUCGAAAAAUCUCUUCAAAUUACCUGACGACAAUUUUCGAUAUAAAUAUCGAUUUACGUUUUUCGAAAUAAUAGUCAAUUGAAUGCAUGAUGAUAAUCCAGGAUGAUCCUAUGAUGCUCAACUGGGCUCGCCAUAAAAUUCAAGACUAUUUUGGCGUUUUGCACGCCGUAUCUCUGCCAGUAAUAUGCAAUGUUUGUAAAAGACUGGAAGCUUGCUAAAAUGUACAAAAAUGCCUAGAUGAGAAAGGGAACAAGAUUGUGUGAUGAAGAACAGUGUCCAACAUGUAUCAGUGCAUUUGACUGUAUAAAUAGACAUCGGAAUAAAAUAUAAUUUUCUACUUU